CCUACGGGAGGCAGCAGUGGGGAAUAUUGGGCAAUGGAGGAAACUCUGAACCAGCAACGCCGCGUGAAUGAUGAAGGUCUUCGGAUUGUAAAGUUCUUUUCUAAGGGAAGAAGAAAGCGACGGUACCUUAGGAAUAAGCCUCGGCUAACUACGUGCCAGCAGCCGCGGUAAUACGGAGGAGGCGAGCGUUAUCCGGAAUGACUGGGCGUAAAGGGUGCGUAGGUGGUUUGGCAAGUUAGUAGCGUAACUCCAAGGCUCAACCUUGGAACUACUACUAAAACUGUUGGACUUGAGUGCAGGAGGGGCAACCGGAAUUCCUAGUGUAGCGGUGGAAUGCGUAGAUAUUAGGAGGAACACCAGUGGCGAAGGCGGGUUGCUAGCCUGUAACUGACACUGAGGCACGAAAGCGUGGGGAGCAAACAGGAUUAGAUACCCCAGUAGUC
RNAcentral lists this ribosomal RNA (443 nucleotides) under uncultured bacterium. RNAcentral's name for it is "partial 16S ribosomal RNA". It matches the Rfam family "Bacterial small subunit ribosomal RNA", at positions 338 to 795 of the family's 1533-position model. The record is from RNAcentral.